GAUUAGGGCCAGUUUGGGUCGCUAGUGUAGGGGAUUACUUGGUGGGGGUUUUAUUCCUGUUAUGAUUCCGUGUUCCGUGUUCCAUGUUUUAUUACGAAUCUGUGUGCUUUCCUCUGCCUUCCUCUGCUUUCCUCUGUUUUAUAAUACUUAUGGGUGCCGUAUUUAUGUUAUGUAAUCUGCUUCUGUGCUUUACUAUGUGUUUGUGUGGUAUCUCGUGCCUUGAGCCGGGGGUCUUUCGGAAAUAGCCUUUCUACUUCAUCAGAGGUAGAGGUAUGGACUGCGUAUAUCUUACCCCCCCCAGACCCCACUAGGUGGGAAUACACUGGGUUUGUU
Molecule: long non-coding RNA, 333 nt
Filed under: Capsicum annuum
Lineage: Eukaryota; Viridiplantae; Streptophyta; Magnoliopsida; Solanales; Solanaceae
Description: long non-coding RNA (CANN_LNC012492)
Source: RNAcentral